UUAUUGAGUCUAGAUUUGAAUUGACUUCAAAGAAAUUUAGCCCAUUUUUGGAUGUUCUUGGGCCCAAAUUUGGGCAGUCCACCCCUCACCCUUCAUUAACCCAAAACUCUUAAAAAAUUCCUAACCUAGACACCCUAAGAUCAGGAACAAAAUACACUUAUAGAGCGACAAAAAAUCUGAGACUCCCUUCAUCCUCGAGCGUCGUUGCUUCUCCCAGACUCACCUUCCAAAAUCAGCCAUUAAAACCAUCUUCUUCCUCCUAAAACAACCUCGAAAUUACCCCUGAAAAACCGUAAGAAUCGCGCUCAACCCAGCCCAAUAAACACGUCAAAGCUAAGCCAAAAAUCCAUGAAAACGAGCUCCCAAAAACGCCACCACAGGCUCAAUUCGAGUCGACGAGCUGUCCGUUUGCAACUCCAAGAGGUUCUGUUCGAGUUUUCUCCGGCUCGGUCGUGGUCGUUUGGUUGAGUUUAGUUGUCGAUUCAUCUUAACUAUCGUAGUCUAAAAGAUUUCACAAUGUCAAUCGAGAAUUCCGAGCUCUCCACGGAGCAGAUCCAGGAGUCUCGGGUCAUGUUAGCAAGUGCUGAUUUGCUUUCCAACAGGCUUGUUCGGAGUUGACUAGGUAGCUGCUCGGCGUUCGCAGCCCAGUGCUUCUCCUUCCUAUCUUUAUUUUACUUUGUACUAGCCUUGUAUUAGACUAUGUUGUCUUAUCAUACUCUUAGACGGAUUUUAGAUGCUCAUGACAGAUGACACCCCGAUGUCGAGUUGUAUUUGUUUUCGUACUGUUAUAUUCUACUCUAUAUUUUGAGAUU
Long non-coding RNA from Nicotiana tabacum (common tobacco), 812 nucleotides. RefSeq lists it as uncharacterized. Lineage: Eukaryota; Viridiplantae; Streptophyta; Magnoliopsida; Solanales; Solanaceae. The record is from RefSeq and is a predicted model, not a curated record.